CCUACGGGUGGCUGCAGUGAGGAAUAUUGGUCAAUGGCCGGGAGGCUGAACCAGCCAAGUCGCGUGAGGGAAGACGGCCCUACGGGUUGUAACCCUCUUUUGUCAAGGGACAAAAUCAGGCUCGAGAGCCUGACCGAGGGUACUUGAAGAAAAAGCAUCGGCUAACUCCGUGCCAGCAGCCGCGGUAAUACGGAGGAUGCGAGCGUUAUCCGGAUUUAUUGGGUUUAAAGGGUGCGUAGGCGGACUGUUAAGUCAGCGGUAAAAGCCCGGGGCUCAACCCCGGCGAGCCGUUGAAACUGGCUGUCUUGAGAUGUCGAGAGGUAUGCGGAAUGCGCAGUGUAGCGGUGAAAUGCUUAGAUAUUGCGCAGAACUCCGAUUGCGAAGGCAGCAUACCGGCGGCGAUCUGACGCUGAGGCACGAAAGCGUGGGUAUCGAACAGGAUUAGAUACCCGGGUAGUC
Molecule: ribosomal RNA, 459 nt
Filed under: uncultured bacterium
Lineage: Bacteria
Description: partial 16S ribosomal RNA
Rfam family: Bacterial small subunit ribosomal RNA
Source: RNAcentral